GAUGAACGCUGGCGGCGUGCCUAAUACAUGCAAGUCGAGCGAACGGACGAGAAGCUUGCUUCUCUGAUGUUAGCGGCGGACGGGUGAGUAACACGUGGAUAACCUACCUAUAAGACUGGGAUAACUUCGGGAAACCGGAGCUAAUACCGGAUAAUAUUUUGAACCGCAUGGUUCAAAAGUGAAAGACGGUCUUGCUGUCACUUAUAGAUGGAUCCGCGCUGCAUUAGCUAGUUGGUAAGGUAACGGCUUACCAAGGCAACGAUUCAUAGCCGACCUGAGAGGGUGAUCGUCCACACUGGAACUGAGACACGGUCCAGACUCCUACGGGAGCCAGCAGUAGGGAAUCUUCCGCAAUGGGCGAAAGCCUGACGGUGCAACGUCGCGUGAGUGAUGAAAGUCUUCGGGUCGUAAAACUCUGUUAUUAGGGAAGAACAUAUGUGUAAGUAACUAUGCACAUCUUGACGGUACCUAAUCAGAAAGCCACGGCUAACUACGUG
RNAcentral lists this ribosomal RNA (497 nucleotides) under uncultured bacterium. Its description in RNAcentral is "partial 16S ribosomal RNA". It matches the Rfam family "Bacterial small subunit ribosomal RNA", at positions 28 to 507 of the family's 1533-position model. The record is from RNAcentral.